RNAcentral lists this ribosomal RNA (733 nucleotides) under Xylaria sp. genotype 293. RNAcentral describes it as "eukaryotic LSU rRNA". The stretch from base 245 to 398 matches the Rfam family "5.8S ribosomal RNA". Lineage: Eukaryota; Fungi; Ascomycota; Sordariomycetes; Xylariales; Xylariaceae. The record is from RNAcentral.
ACUCCUAAACCCCUGUGAACUCACUAUGUUGGAUUCUCGCCAGAGAUAGUCUGGUUUCUGCUUCGCGGAUCGCCUGCCCGUGACACCUGUCACAGGUAGGUAUGCUUCUGCCGCGGGUCCGCAGGUAAAUCGUCUGUUUCACAAGGGACGGCGAUUUUACCUGUGGAAGAGGUCCGCUAACUAUAUUCUUAGUAUAGUUUGUUCACUAGAUCAAACAUUCUGAAUAAAAACUUAAACUAGUUAAAACUUUCAACAACGGAUCUCUUGGUUCUGGCAUCGAUGAANAACGCAGCGAAAUGCGAUAAGUAAUGUGAAUUGCAGAAUUCAGUGAAUCAUCGAAUCUUUGAACGCACAUUGCGCCCAUUAGUAUUCUAGUGGGCAUGCCUGUUCGAGCGUCAUUUCAACCCUUAAGCCUCUGUUGCUUAGCGUUGGGAGCCUACAGCCUGCUGUAGCUCCUUAAAGGUAGUGGCGGAGUCGGUUCACACUCUAGACGUAGUAAAAUCUUUAUCUCGCCUAUAGAUGAGCCGGCGCCUUGCCGUAAAACCCCUAAUCUUUCACAAGGUUGACCUCGGAUCAGGUAGGAAUACCCGCUGAACUUAAGCAUAUCAAUAAGCGGAGGAAAAGAAACCAACAGGGAUUGCCCUAGUAACGGCGAGUGAAGCGGCAACAGCUCAAAUUUGAAAUCUGGCCUUCGGGUCCGAGUUGUAAUUUGCAGAGGAUGCUUUGGGCGCGG